CCUACGGGAGGCAGCAGUGAGGAAUAUUGGUCAAUGGACGAGAGUCUGAACCAGCCAAGUAGCGUGAAGGAUGACUGCCCUAUGGGUUGUAAACUUCUUUUAUAUGGGAAUAAAAUGUUCCACGUGUGGGAUUUUGUAUGUACCAUAUGAAUAAGGAUCGGCUAACUCCGUGCCAGCAGCCGCGGUAAUACGGAGGAUCCGAGCGUUAUCCGGAUUUAUUGGGUUUAAAGGGAGCGUAGGUGGGUUGUUAAGUCAGUUGUGAAAGUUUGCGGCUCAACCGUAAAAUUGCAGUUGAAACUGGCAGUCUUGAGUACAGUAGGGGUGGGCGGAAUGCGUGGUGUAGCGGUGAAAUGCUUAGAUAUCACGAAGAACUCCGAUUGCGAAGGCAGUUCACUGGACUGCAACUGACACUGAGGCUCGAAAGUGUGGGUAUCAAACAGGAUUAGAUACCCGUGUAGUC
RNAcentral lists this ribosomal RNA (460 nucleotides) under uncultured bacterium. RNAcentral describes it as "partial 16S ribosomal RNA". It matches the Rfam family "Bacterial small subunit ribosomal RNA", at positions 338 to 795 of the family's 1533-position model. The record is from RNAcentral.